Molecule: unclassified non-coding RNA, 240 nt
Filed under: soil metagenome
Description: partial contains 5.8S ribosomal RNA, internal transcribed spacer 2, and large subunit ribosomal RNA
Source: RNAcentral
AACAAGGCGUACCUGCGGACCUGCGGAAGGAUCAUUACCGAGUGUGAACCCCCCCGUAAAAAAGAGGGGUUACCUCCCGUCCUUUGCUGGGAACCCCUUUCCAACUUGGAAGGAGGUUGUUUUCAGACCCUUCUGCUUCGGUGGGGUAACCCACCGGAACAACCUCAAAAAUAUUCUCAAUUCAAAACCGUUCAGUCCGAGAACUUUUUUGAAAAGCGAAAAAACUUUUAGCAACGGAUC